RNAcentral lists this ribosomal RNA (253 nucleotides) under uncultured bacterium. RNAcentral's name for it is "partial 16S ribosomal RNA". It matches the Rfam family "Bacterial small subunit ribosomal RNA", at positions 524 to 776 of the family's 1533-position model. The record is from RNAcentral.
UACGUAGGGUGCGAGCGUUAAUCGGAAUUACUGGGCGUAAAGCGUGCGCAGGCGGUUUUGUAAGCCAGAUGUGAAAUCCCCGGGCUUAACCUGGGAAUGGCAUUUGGGACUGCAAGGCUCGAGUGCGGCAGAGGAGACUGGAAUUCCUGGUGUAGCAGUGAAAUGCGUAGAUAUCAGGAGGAACACCGAUGGCGAAGGCAGGUCUCUGGGCUGACACUGACGCUCAUGCACGAAAGCUAGGGGAGCGAACGGG